Molecule: long non-coding RNA, 1071 nt
Filed under: Linum usitatissimum (flax)
Lineage: Eukaryota; Viridiplantae; Streptophyta; Magnoliopsida; Malpighiales; Linaceae
Description: long non-coding RNA (LUSI_LNC005231)
Source: RNAcentral
CGCCAACACAUCACCAACUACAUCCUUGUUCACUAGCAACAUGCCACACAUCACCAAGCAGCAACAUCACCAAAACUAAACAUAGCAUGCCUCUUGUUCACAUCUACAUUUCCACCUACAAAUAGUAAAGAGGAAACAACCACAGAUGGUUACACAGACGAACAACAAAAUAGAACAAUUGUCAACCCCAAAUCCUACGCUAAUUAUAGGUGCAAUCCCACACGCCAAUAUCAAUUAAGUACCAAAUUUCAUUACCAAAUUCUUGAUCACAAAGGUUCACAACAGAGCAAUCACUACUAAAGUAAUUGACAUAAAUCAUAAAAACACAUAUGUUGAGAUGCUUCACGUGCUACAUGGUCAACCACAAUAAUCAAAGCUACAUUUCCAUCCAUCCUACCUAUUUCUCUCUGGAACAAUCAUGAAUUCAGAUCAAUAAACUUCAAGUUAGCAAAAACAAAGAAACAAGUAGACAAAGCAAAGUUGAAGGAGUAUACCUAUCAAAAUGAAUCAAAGUAGGCCCUAGCCGCAUAAUUUCUUCCAAAUCUGAUCUGUCCGUGACUGUCUUCAAUAUUCUGCAUGUACUAAGAAAGUAAGAGUUGAAUCUCUUAGCUGAUAUCCUUCACUACAUAAAACAAGAAUAAGCAAAACCUUAAAAACUUGCACAACAACAUGAGCUUGAACUUACACAAAAAUUCAUCACUUCUUCGCACGAUGAUAUCCACAAUGACUGUCCUGAACAAGACCAUCUUCAUAUUCAAUAGAGGCACCACCAAAUAGAAGAGACACUGAGACAACCCACCACAAACAUAAAUAUUAGACAACCAAUGAAUACUAUCACCAAAUGAGUUGCUUUUACAUAGCCUUCAUAUCUCUCACACUCUUCAUUACCAUAUCAUAAAGGCAUCAAGCAAUAUGAGCAUGUAAGAUGAUUUACCCUCAAGCUUAUCGUCUAUUAACCGAUAUGGAACUACAGACUUGCAGUUAUUGAUAUUUUGAGAAGAAGAGGAUUGGUAGCCACCUAAGCACCCUUUGGCACUUCGACCAGCAUACUUGUCCCAGUUCGAGAAACAC